CACUGGUCGAGAGCUGUUGCCACUCUCCUGAUGAGUCUAAGCAAGACGAAACCAAUG
Molecule: non-coding RNA, 57 nt
Filed under: Helianthus annuus (common sunflower)
Lineage: Eukaryota; Viridiplantae; Streptophyta; Magnoliopsida; Asterales; Asteraceae
Source: RNAcentral